GUGUUACUUUAUCGUUGAGUCGGAGGACAGGAAACGACGAUUAAUGAAAGACUUGGCAGAAUUCGGGCCCUCCCCUUUUGCUGUCAGGACAGAAAUCGUUUCGAAUUGCGACGAAUUGCCAUUCCAGGGUCGGAUCGACGAGCCACCUGGUGGCCGCAUGAGUCAACUGAGCACCUAGCUACUAGUUUUUCGUUCUUGCACGUCUCGUUCUCGUUUGAAACGCUACUUUAAGAUGCUUGAACUUUGAAUUUGAAUUUAUUACUUGUUUUUGACACUCUGCUCUUUAUGAAUUUUUGAUUACCAUGCAUAAAUUUGCCACUAGUACAUGCACAACUUUUGUCAAGGUCUGCACGGAUUACAGACGAAAUUCUCAAUCAGCUGUUUUGCACAUCUUCGACGUUCUGAUUGUAAUCUUUUCUUUGUCACUUUUAAUUUUUCUCCGCCGUUUUGUUUCUUCCUUCGUUGCUUCACCUGAUUAUCACAGUUUUCAUCAACCGAAUCGUUCGUUCAUUAGAAACCCGACAUUUCUUUCAGGUCUAACAAGAGGGAUACUACGUACACAUUACGUCAUGGGCUGAUGGCAACGGUUUUCCGAUGGCAUGGCCGAGGUAUCCGACGUUUCCAGAGGGGCUAUAGCCUUGACCAGAAAACACAGUGAACGUUAAUGGAAUAAUUACGUGUCACAGCGAGUAUAACGACUAUCGUUCAAUCUCUACAGUCAAUCCAUUACUAUUUUGUUUUCUUCCUUUUUUCCUGUUUUUAUUUUUCAAUUUUCGUUUCUUUCUUGUUAUCUGAUGUUAUCUUUUGCCUUUUUUUACAUCUUCUAGUUUCUUUUGUUUGGUCUUUGUUCGCGUUCUCGCAUUUAAUAAGAGGAGUCGUUAAUGGUGUCGAACGUGCCCUCACUUUAUGCAAAUGAAGUGCAGACAAGUCGAAUACAUCGUGUGGCGGCUUGACAAGACAGGAUUCCAUUUGGUUACAAGGCAACCUCAACCGACCUCAACCAGUUCACCCUUUUUAAACAUUUCUUCUUGAAUAGUGCAUUUCAAUUUUAAGAGCCAACAACUCAACUAUGUGUCAUGUUGCAACAGUAAUAUUUUUAAAUGAUAUCUCAAAUUUUCUACUUGUUUUUUUUCCUAACCGUCACGUAUAUGCAUAAACAAAAUUGCUUGUAACAAAUCAACUUGUCGUACAUUAUCAAAGCAGAUGUGAGAUACAAAGUAACGCGUCUGACGUCUGAAUCUUUUUUUUUUUACAUAUCGAGACCUUCAUCGCCGUAGAACUGGCCAAAAUAUGGUUGGAAAUUGGAGUUGAAGUUCUUCCCGAACAUCAGAAGAAGAGAGACGAAACCAACCGAAAUGUCUGGUCGAAAUCCAUUGGAAGGCCUUGAAAAAGAUGUUCACGGACUCACUACCCUUUCUUUAAUACCGGCACCAUGUCUAUCUUAUUUUCUUUAAAGGUUUAUGUUAUUUUACAGACUUCUUUUUUUUCUUUUUUUCGUUAAACAUAAAGCAGACAAAAGUCCAUAGGGCGUCUCGUUCCAGAGUUUGCUGUAGCCGUUGCACGGUCAUUCAGGUUCGUGUCUGCAUAAUCUCUGCCGGUCUACAGUUGAACUCACAGCUAACCGUCAAAAGUUUCUCUUCUAUUUCCUAUUAUGCUGUUCUUUGUAUUUCGGUUUACCCGAGACGACGAUGUUCUAUUUGAAGACGUCCCCGAUAGAAGAGGGAAAGCCGGCAACAAAAGAUUUAUAAACGGCCAUUUUGUAUGCUUAAGGUUGCCGAGCCUGAGGUCCUCAGUGCACAGUUACGUAGCCCCGAUGUUUAUCGUCAAGGAUUUAUGGAAUCAACAUGACCGGCACGAUGAAAACGAAAUGCUUUAUUAUACUUAAAUAAACGCACCAUUGUGCACUAUAGCCGUUCUGGGAUAUUUUCAACUGAACAUGAUCUAAAGCCAAUAGCUCCAACUAGCAAAAAGAGUAUUUUGAAUGCCAACGGCUGAGGCACUACCGCACUAGGACUCGGGAAAUAUUUUUGCGUCGGGUUGGAUGACCGCAGACACAGCUUCCCGCCCAAGGUCGGCAUCAUCAGUCUUUUGACUCAACAUCGACCCCUAGCGGACACCAUGGACGAGCUAUCAAAGAGACACAAAAGAUGUAUAGACAUGCGAGGCAGCGAACGAUUGCAACAAUCCCGCCAUCGACAUUGGCCCGAGAUGCAUUCAACAACGUAUUAAACAGGGAACUCAAAACUCAGUCGCCAUUUUAACUCUUUUCUAUUUAAAACAAUUCACGACUUGUAACGACCUGAGAAAUUCAUUUUUUCUCCGCAUUAUCAGGGUUUUUUUUUCUAUAGCAAGCUGAAGUGGCUAUAAGUAAGGGUGUUUUUCUUUUUCUCACCUAAUACGAUCCCACAUAAUGGAACUUCUGAAAAUGACUGUGAGAAAAAAAAAGAAUUUAUUCAUUUGUUAAAUCUAAUCUGCAUUCUUGGGUAGAAAUCUCGGUGCCCAUUGGGGACUGUUGGUUCAAAAACUGGCGGGCUGGAGGUAUUUUUGAUUAAUGUCGUCUCACCGGCCUCAAGGUCACCUGUCCAGCAUCGUCCCUACCAAUUCCAUGCUUAAGGCUAUACUACCCUCCCUCUUCCCCACCUUUUUUUUUUUCCCGACCGCAUAUUUUGUUUCACGGUGUCCAAUGCCCGAGUGCCGUCUGGUUCCAACCUGUAGCCAAAAAGCUGGACCUGAUUGUUAUGAAGCAUAAGGUUCUCACCCCGCGCGUUAUUAUUUUGGUUCCGUACAGAUGGGGAGAAGAGCUCACAAUAUGUCUGUUGGUGGACAGGUGUGCAAACACUCAUGCAAGGCAGGCACGGUAAAUAUGAACAUUUUGUUAAACAAAAGUCAACAUUUUGCUUGAGUUCGGCUGAAAUCGGAAAAGAAUAAUAAAAGGGCCGUUUCACUUUCACCUUUUUUUUUUUUUUUUAAUCGGGUACCUUCUCUCUAUUUUCUUCCGCUAAAAAGCUCUCAUUGUUUGCGUGUCCAAAAAUAGAAAAGAAAAAAAAUAAUAAUAAAAACAACACGUAACAGAAGAAGAAAGAAGAAGAAGAAGAAGAAGAAGGAGUUCAAAACAAAAAAGGGCAAGUAACAGAAUAUUGAAAUAUAAUAUGGCUUUGAAACGGAAUAGGUAAGAAGAAUAUCUUGUUUGUUUGCUUCUUUUUUAAUGAAGAGAAUUAAGAAAGUUUCACAGAUUUGAAUGAUUUUGGAGCCAUGUUUCAAGAUCAACAAGGAUUGGAUUAAAGUGGGAGACAUAACGGAAUUGUUCUCUUUCGGCAUUCACUGUUGGUUUUCUCACGGCAUCAGUCAUUAUUGUUUUUUAAAAAAAUCUAUCUUCAUUCACCAUCAUGCAUUCGUCAUUGAUCUACACAAUACAACAUGGGGGCCAUCCGAUCCAGAGGAAGCCACAGCCGCAGGUUUGCGUCUGAGCUUCAGUACAAAUUGUAAUAAUUUUUUUUUUCAUUUGUUUUUCAUUCUCACUUAUCACCAUAACUAUUAUUUAUUCAUCAUUUUUCUUUUUUUUCCUUUUUUUUCAUUUUUUAAAACUCUUUUCUUUAAUACGGUGUUGCGAAACAAACAACUCGCACACUCAACAGUUUUUUACUCUAUAAUAAUCAUUUAAAGAUGGAAUUCAAAAUUGGCGCGUUUUACCCCUCCUCGAGUGAUUUCGUUUGAAACGUCACAGCAUACACAACAAUGAUAACAUAUCAGUUACGGAUUGAGGAUGAUCAGGAGAGGAUGCCGGACGGUUCUCCGUUCGUUUAGGCGCGUCUUAUAAUUGUAUUUAUUAGUCCCCCCCCCCUUUUCCAAGAAAAUGAAAAAAAAAUUAAAUAAAAAUAAAA
This 3881-nucleotide long non-coding RNA is filed under the name Daphnia magna. RNAcentral describes it as "uncharacterized LOC116928464, transcript variant X1". The record is from RNAcentral. Lineage: Eukaryota; Metazoa; Arthropoda; Branchiopoda; Diplostraca; Daphniidae.